UUGAACGCUGGCGGCAGGCCUAACACAUGCAAGUCGAGCGGAUGAAGGGAGCUUGCUCCUGGAUUCAGCGGCGGACGGGUGAGUAAUGCCUAGGAAUCUGCCUGGUAGUGGGGGAUAACGUCCGGAAACGGGCGCUAAUACCGCAUACGUCCUGAGGGAGAAAGUGGGGGAUCUUCGGACCUCACGCUAUCAGAUGGGCCUAGGUCGGAUUAGCUAGUUGGUGGGGUAAAGGCCUACCAAGGCGACGAUCCGUAACUGGUCUGAGAGGAUGAUCAGUCACACUGGAACUGAGACACGGUCCAGACUCCUACGGGAGGCAGCAGUGGGGAAUAUUGGACAAUGGGCGAAAGCCUGAUCCAGCCAUGCCGCGUGUGUGAAGAAGGUCUUCGGAUUGUAAAGCACUUUAAGUUGGGAGGAAGGGCAGUAAGUUAAUACCUUGCUGUUUUGACGUUACCAACAGAAUAAGCACCGGCUAACUUCGUG
This 483-nucleotide ribosomal RNA is filed under the name uncultured bacterium. RNAcentral's name for it is "partial 16S ribosomal RNA". It matches the Rfam family "Bacterial small subunit ribosomal RNA", at positions 30 to 507 of the family's 1533-position model. The record is from RNAcentral.